This 990-nucleotide ribosomal RNA is filed under the name Triticum aestivum (bread wheat). RNAcentral describes it as "partial small subunit ribosomal RNA". Lineage: Eukaryota; Viridiplantae; Streptophyta; Magnoliopsida; Poales; Poaceae. The record is from RNAcentral.
AUGAUUAAUGAAGCUUGGAUAGCAGCUGCUUCAGGAGAACAAGGGCUUGCUGCAACAUGGGAUAGACUUGGAGCAAUGGCGGGUUCAAUGCAGCGGUGGGCAAGAGAGGUAUUCGGCUCUAUUAGGAGACAAGUGGCGAAACUGAAAGCGCAACUGCUGGAUGCUAAAAAUAGAUCCCUCGUGUCGAGGUCCUCACUGGAGGUCCGCGAGUUGGAGGAACAGCUGCGUGAAAUUUAUGCUCGGGAGGAAAUCAUGUAUAGGCAGAGGUCACGAGUGGAUUGGCUAAAAGCAGGCGAUCAAAACACUAAAUAUUUUCAGAAUAGAGCCUCUCAUAGGAAAAGGAAGAACACAGUGAAAGCUCUGAAGUGGGAUGAUGGGUCUUUGUGCAGGGUUGAUGAGGAGAUGCGCAACAUGGUUGCUCACUUCUACGAACAGCUAUUCACAUCGGAAGGUACACAGGGGGCGGCUGACUUGUUACAAAACAUUGAUAGCUUGGUGACGGAGGAUAUGAACAAGCUGCUGCUCGAGCCGAUCAAGGAUGAGGAAAUUGAGUCGGCGCUCUUCCAGAUGGGACCCACGAAGGCACCGGGGCCGGAUGGAUUACCGGCUCUCUUUUACCAACGACACUGGUCGCUGGUUCGACAUGAUGUGUGCCGGGCAGUAAAGGACUUUUUGAAUGGGGUAGCUGCUCCAGAGGCUUUCAAUGAUACGAUUAUCGUCACGAUCCCGAAAUGUAGCUCACCGGAGUUACUUUCACAGUUUCGUCCGAUCAGCCUCUGUAAUGUUCUCUACAAGAUCGCGACGAAGGUCUUGGCUAACCGGCUUAAGGGCAUUCUACCUGUGCUUAUCUCUGAGGAGCAAAGUGCCUUCAUCCCGGGGCGGUUGAUUACUGAUAAUGUGAUUGUUGCGUAUGAGUGCGUGCAUGCUAUACGUAAACGGAAGCGGAAGAAACCUUUUUGUGCAGUCAAGCUCGAUAUGAUGAAGGCGUAG